AUACGGAGGGUGCAAGCGUUGUUCGGAAUCACUGGGCGUAAAGCGCGUGUAGGCGGCUUGGCAAGUCGAAUGUGAAAGCCCGGGGCCCAACCCCGGAAUUGCAUUCGAAACUGCUUGGCUAGAGUCUCGGAGAGGAAGGCAGAAUUCCCGGUGUAGGGGUGAAAUCCGUAGAUAUCGGGAGGAAUACCAGUGGCGAAGGCGGCCUUCUGGACGAUGACUGACGCUGAGACGCGAAAGCGUGGGGAGCAAACAGGAUUAGAAACCCCUGUAGUCC
RNAcentral lists this ribosomal RNA (274 nucleotides) under uncultured bacterium. Its description in RNAcentral is "partial 16S ribosomal RNA". It matches the Rfam family "Bacterial small subunit ribosomal RNA", at positions 523 to 796 of the family's 1533-position model. The record is from RNAcentral.